UCCAGUUUUCUUCCUCUCGCCGACAUAACUUUCCGGCGUCGCUACCGCCUCGUCCGGCCACCUAUGGCCAUGAAAUUGGUGUCCAUCUCUUCGUCUUGAAACAAGGUUUCUAUCUAUAUAUGUCUUGCACCCUAUCAUUCACCAUAGACAACGAAUCGAAGCCAACAAGUUCACUGUAGCAGCUCGGGUUUUCUGGAAAAUUUUCCAGAUUCCAGCCAUCUUCGGCGGCAUUUUGAGCUUGAUCGAUGCUCCUCAAGACGUGGAUGAUAUCCCUCCAAGUUUUUUUUCCACAAAUCGAAGUGAAAUUGACGAAUCGAAGGUUUGAAUUUCUGGGUACUAUUUGGAAAUCGGGUUUUACUGUUUGAGCUUAGUUUCGGGUAUUUUCAUGUGUUUUCUAACUUUGUGGUAGUUGAGAAAGAUGUUUGGAUGGUUGAGACGAAGUUGCUGCCAAAAUUUGGUGGCUGAAGGCGGAGGUUGCCGCUGUGUGAACAGUGCGGUGAACAGUUAUUGCGGGCGACGUGCCGAGCUACUGCUCGACGUAGGAAACCGGUAGCGUGGUCUCCUAAAUAGUACUUUUGCAGGCCAGUUUAGCUUGAGGUCGAGCGUACUUGGGGUGGAGGCAUAGCUGUCAUA
This is a long non-coding RNA of Rosa chinensis, 633 nucleotides long. RefSeq lists it as uncharacterized. The record is from RefSeq and is a predicted model, not a curated record. Lineage: Eukaryota; Viridiplantae; Streptophyta; Magnoliopsida; Rosales; Rosaceae. The transcript is spliced from 3 exons.